GACGAACGCUGGCGGCGUGCUUAACACAUGCAAGUCGAACGGAAAGGCCCUGCUUUUGUGGGGUGCUCGAGUGGCGAACGGGUGAGUAACACGUGAGUAACCUGCCCUUGACUUUGGGAUAACUUCAGGAAACUGGGGCUAAUACCGGAUAGGAGCUCCUGCUGCAUGGUGGGGGUUGGAAAGUUUCGGCGGUUGGGGAUGGACUCGCGGCUUAUCAGCUUGUUGGUGGGGUAGUGGCUUACCAAGGGUUUGACGGGUAGCCGGCCUGAGAGGGUGACCGGCCACAUUGGGACUGAGAUACGGCCCAGACUCCGACGGGAGGCAGCAGUGGGGAAUAUUGCACAAUGGGCGGAAGCCUGAUGCAGCAACGCCGCGUGCGGGAUGACGGCCUUCGGGUUGUAAACCGCUUUCGCCUGUGACGAAGCGUGAGUGACGGUAAUGGGUAAAGAAGCACCGGCUAACUACGUG
Molecule: ribosomal RNA, 468 nt
Filed under: uncultured bacterium
Lineage: Bacteria
Description: partial 16S ribosomal RNA
Rfam family: Bacterial small subunit ribosomal RNA
Source: RNAcentral